CUACGGGGUGCUCCAGUGGGGAAUAUUGCGCAAUGGGCGAAAGCCUGACGCAGCAACGCCGCGUGGGUGAUGAAGGUCUUCGGAUUGUAAAACCCUGUCGUUAGGGACGAUGACUACCAGUCUAAUAUAUUGGUAGUUUGACGGUACCUAGAAAGGAAGCCCCGGCUAACUCUGUGCCAGCAGCCGCGGUAAUACAGAGGGGGCAAGCGUUAUUCGGAAUUAUUGGGCGUAAAGAGCGCGUAGGCGGUAUUUUAAGUGAGAUGUGUAAUCCCUGAGCUUAACUUGGGAACUGCAUCUCAUACUGGAAUGCUAGAGUACCGGAGAGGGUGGUAGAAUUCCACGUGUAGCGGUGAAAUGCGUAGAGAUGUGGAGGAAUACCGGUGGCGAAGGCGGCCACCUGGACGGUAACUGACGCUAAGGUGCGAAAGUGUGGGUAGCAAACAGGAUUAGAUACCCUCGUAGUC
Molecule: ribosomal RNA, 464 nt
Filed under: uncultured bacterium
Lineage: Bacteria
Description: partial 16S ribosomal RNA
Rfam family: Bacterial small subunit ribosomal RNA
Source: RNAcentral